GGACUACACGGGUAUCUAAUCCCGUUCGCUCCCCUGGCUUUCGCGCCUCAGCGUCAGUAGAGAUCCAGUGCGUCGCUUUCGCCACCGGCGUUCCUUCUGAUAUCUACGCAUUUCACCGCUCCACCAGAAGUUCCACGCACCCCUACCUCCCUCUAGCCCGCCAGUAUCCAAGGCACUUUUCCGGUUGAGCCGAAAGAUUUCACCCCGGACUUGGCAAGCCGCCUACGCGCCCUUUAAGCCCAGUGAAUCCGAACAACGUUCGCACGGUUCGUCUUACCGCGGCUGCUGGCAC
Molecule: ribosomal RNA, 292 nt
Filed under: uncultured bacterium
Lineage: Bacteria
Also listed under: 1 other name
Description: partial 16S ribosomal RNA
Source: RNAcentral